UAGGGAAUCUUCGGCAAUGGACGAAAGUCUGACCGAGCAACGCCGCGUGAGUGAAGAAGGUUUUCGGAUCGUAAAACUCUGUUGUUAGAGAAGAACAAGGACGUUAGUAACUGAACGUCCCCUGACGGUAUCUAACCAGAAAGCCACGGCUAACUACGUGCCAGCAGCCGCGGUAAUACGUAGGUGGCAAGCGUUGUCCGGAUUUAUUGGGCGUAAAGCGAGCGCAGGCGGUUUCUUAAGUCUGAUGUGAAAGCCCCCGGCUCAACCGGGGAGGGUCAUUGGAAACUGGGAGACUUGGGUGCAGAAGAGGAGAGUGGAAUUCCAUGUGUAGCGAUGAAAUGCGUAGAUAUAUGGAGGAACACCAGUGGCGAAGGCGGCUCUCUGGUCUGUAACUGACGCUGAGGCUCGAAAGCGUGGGGAGCAAACAGG
This 429-nucleotide ribosomal RNA is filed under the name Chloroflexota bacterium. RNAcentral describes it as "Chloroflexi bacterium partial 16S ribosomal RNA". It matches the Rfam family "Bacterial small subunit ribosomal RNA", at positions 355 to 776 of the family's 1533-position model. Lineage: Bacteria; Bacillati; Chloroflexota. The record is from RNAcentral.